GACGAACGCUGGCGGCGUGCUUAACACAUGCAAGUCGAACGGAAAGGCCCUGCUUUUGUGGGGUGCUCGUGUGGCGAACGGGUGAGUAACACGUGAGUAACCUGCCCUUGACUUUGGGAUAACUUCAGGAAACUGGGGCUAAUACCGGAUAGGAGCUCCUGCUGCAUGGUGGGGGUUGGAAAGUUUCGGCGGUUGGGGAUGGACUCGCGGCUUAUCAGCUUGUUGGUGGGGUAGUGGCUUACCAAGGCUUUGACGGGUAGCCGGCCUGAGAGGGUGACCGGCCACAUUGGGACUGAGAUACGGCCCAGACUCCUACGGGAGGCAACAGUGGGGAAUAUUACACAAUAGGCGGGAGCCUGAUGCGGCAACGCCGCGUGCGGGAUGACGGCCUUCGGGUUGUAAACCGCUUUCGCCUGUAACGAAGCGUGAGUGACGGUAAUGGGUAAAGAAGCACCGGCUAACUACGUG
RNAcentral lists this ribosomal RNA (468 nucleotides) under uncultured bacterium. Its description in RNAcentral is "partial 16S ribosomal RNA". It matches the Rfam family "Bacterial small subunit ribosomal RNA", at positions 28 to 507 of the family's 1533-position model. The record is from RNAcentral.